UGCAACAAUAACAUGUUUGCGCUCUCUGAUGGAACCAGCUAAUACUUGAAAUAUACAAAAGCUCAGGUAUACAAGUCCUCAAAGUGGUUUGAAGAAUCUAACACUGAUGAAAACAAGAUAUAGUUGCUGGAGUUGUCUAACAUACAGAAUAUUUUGAGUUCAGAAGUAAAGGAUUUGAGUGAAUGUGCAGAGAAGGUCAAUGAUUAUUACAUGGAUGAAACAUUCUUGUCAGCUGAAUUCAUAGUUGCUAUGGAGAAAAGCUUGCUGGAAUGCGUUGGACAAAGCACAUUCUAAUGAAAUAAGCAUGAUAGCACUGGCUAGUUUGGAUGAGCUCGAUUCAAUGAGAGUGAAUGGUGAAUGCAUAUCAGAUAUUUCCAGCAUAUCAGAGCAGUGUAUUCGUAAAGAUUACUUGGUUGAGCAGAAGAUCAAUGUGACUCCGGAAAAGUGUGUGAUUGCGAUUCCAAAACUAGGUUGAAAUUGGACAACACUCAUAACAAGAU
Salvia splendens (bonfire salvia) is the source of this 500-nucleotide long non-coding RNA. RefSeq lists it as uncharacterized. The record is from RefSeq and is a predicted model, not a curated record. Lineage: Eukaryota; Viridiplantae; Streptophyta; Magnoliopsida; Lamiales; Lamiaceae. The transcript is spliced from 3 exons.